UAGUGUUCUUGGUGGUUUGUCACUAAGUGCACUUGAAGAUAGUGUGAGGAAUAGAGCACGAUUGAGUACAAUUCAAUGGGCUCAUAACACAUCUUUAAUCCCAUCACAAAGGAAUUCAGCCCCCCUAAAAUAGGCCUAACGACGCCCCUGGUCAUAACAUCCUUACAAUGUGAUAUUUCAGUUCUGUGCUUACAGCGUGUUGCACUGCCCCCAGGUGGCCAAAAGAACCAAAUGAAUGCAAGUUUUGUAUUGGAUUUUAGACCAGUUCUUCCAGAAACAUUGCAUGCCUUUGAUGGUUUUUCUCUUUGUCAUGUUAUAGGUGGGUGAAAUUCAAAAUGAGUGGUUACAAGAAUUGUACACGACUAUCCACAGCCACAACCCACAGUUCAUCGCCCUGCACUUCCAGGAGGUGGGAGGAAAGGACUAUAUGGUCAACAUGGGCCACGCCGAAAACUUCUUUUGGAACAUUGAGUCCAGUGAGAAAAUGAAAGACUUUGACAGGGUCUGCAUCUAUGUGGACAACCAGUUCCAAGCAGAAGACAGCUUCACGGUAAGAAACACACUCAGGUCUGAGUCAGAGUAGUUCACAUGUGCUUCCACUAGAUGGGGUCCUCCUCCAUGUCAAUGCUCAGAGGUAGUUGGAGCGGUAGGAUGUACCUUGCUGAUGCUGAUGAGUCCAAAGUAGGAGUUAGUUGCUGGUCAACACUUGAGAUAAGAGUGGAACAUUUGUAAAUACAUAUGAGUUAUUAGAUUUUGUAUGUUAUAAGAUCUUAGCAGGGGGGGUUACAAAAGAAGAAAAGCAUAAAAACAGAACAAACAUGGAAAAAAAAUAUCAUCGGUGAGAUUAGAGUACGUAAUUAAAGCUUCUCCAAUGAAUACUUUUGUAUCAACAAGGGAUAAAUGAAUAUGUGUCAUGUUAAAGAAGUCGCUCAGAUUGACACUUAGUGUUCUUGGUGGUUUGUCACUAAGUGCACUU
Long non-coding RNA from Anarrhichthys ocellatus (wolf-eel), 976 nucleotides. RefSeq lists it as uncharacterized. The record is from RefSeq and is a predicted model, not a curated record. The transcript has 3 exons. NCBI's taxonomy places the organism in Eukaryota, Metazoa, Chordata, Actinopteri, Perciformes, Anarhichadidae.